CUCCAGAACAAAUUAAGUUCUUAACCCGAGGUGCCACUGUACUGAACGGACGGCCAAACAGGAAGUAGGAAGUGAAGCUGAAAAGUAGGUUUAAGAAUUAAAGGAGCAGCAGUGCUAUUUUUCUAGAAAAAGGUGCCAGAACUCACCAUGAAUGCCUCCUUCAUUCCCUUAGAAUAGCAAUGGCGUCCACCUGAGAGGUGUCAGAACUGAUUUCCAGAGAGUUCCGGCUGAAAAAAGGCCCUCGGGAGCAGUAUAAUUUCAGGCCUUACUGAGGACUUUCAAGCAGCCUUGGUUAGGAGUAGUUCCCUUGGAAUAAGGUUUGUCACCUGAAGAUGUUUGUUUAUAAUUACUUUCUCAGCAUAGAAAAUUGAUUCCAUAGCCAAUCCGAACUGAUCUUCCUUCCCCUUGUCCUGUUCUAGCCAAAGUAUGUGUCACAUGUCCUGUCCUCCUCACACAAGCUUAAGAUGCCCCUUUUGCUUUGUUAUGGGUAGUGGCAUUGCCUAUAGGCUUUAAAGUGUGUCAUAGUGGAGUUGGCUUUUAAAAUGAAGGAGCGUCUCCACCUCCAUCGUUCAGCCCGAACACUGAGGUCCAGCGCCGAGGGCCUUCUGGCGGUUCCCUCACUGCAAGAAGCGAAGUUACAGGGAACCAGGCAGAGGGCAUUCUUGGUAGUGGCGCCCGCCCUGUGGAACGCCCUCCCACCAGAUGUCAAGGAAAUAAACAACUAUCUUACAUUUAGAAGACAUCUGAAGGCAGCCCUGUUUAGGGAAGUUUUUAAUGUUUGAUGUUUUACCGUGUUUUUAAUAUUCUGUUGGGAGCCGCCCAGAGUGGCUGGGGAAGCCCAGCCAGAUGGGUGGGGUAUAAAUAAUAAAUUAUUUAUUAUUAAAAUGAGAAAAGGUAAGAUGCAUGAAGCAUUUUAAGGAAAGAUGGAUGUUAACACACUGCAGGUGAUCUCAGCCCUCUCUGUAUCAACCAAAUACUGUACAGUGGUACCUUGGGUUAAGUACUUAAUUCGUUCCAGAGGUCCGUUCUUAACCUGAAACUGUUCUUAACCUGAAGCAUCACUUUAGCUAAUGGGGCCUCCUGCUGCUGCCGCACCGCUGGAACACGAUUUCUCUUCUCAUCCUGAAGCAAAGUUCUUAACUUGAGGUAAUAUUUCUGGGUUAGCAGAGUCUGUAACCUGAAGCGUAUGUAACCUGAAGCAUAUGUAACCCAAGGUACCACUGUAUACAGAUUUUCUUGGAUCAAUAGUACACUGUGUGCAUUCAUUAGCCAUGUGUAAACGUAUGUGAUUUGGAAGAGGUCAUUGCCCAUAACAGUACAGCUCUUGUGUCUCACUGCUAAGAUUGCAAAACAUUUGCCUUGUUCAAUACGAGCAUAGGAAGCUGCCUUAUCAGAGUCCAACCAUUGCUUUAUCUAGCUGAUUGGUCUUGCUGUCCACACUACCUGGCAGGUGCUCUCCAGGGUUUCAGAGAGGCCUCUCUCCCACCCUUACAUGGAGAGGCCAUGCAUUGAAACUGGGAACUUCCACAGAUACAGCCGUUAAUGUCACAACUUGCCCAUGAGCUGGUUCUCGUUUUAUGAGGGGUCUUUUGUGGCACGUUUUCUUUCACCGGUCAUUUUGAAGGCAACUUCAGGCAAUCCCACCCCAAAUCCACAGGUAUGCUGGGCAGCUUCCAAUUUUGUAAAGGUGGUAAUAUUAUUGCUCUUUGUUAAGAUUAGUUUAUUCUGCUUUCACCCCUAACUUCCUGAAACUUUCACUUAGGUUUAGGUUAACACAGUGAAAUAAACACAGCAUGGAAUCAGCCCCGGCGUGGACCUCUAUGGAAGAUAUUGAGAGGUAGGCUGCUUUCAGCUUGCCAAACAAUCACUCUGUAUGCGUGACUUGGAAUAUUGGUCCUUGAUCAAGAAAGCACAACUUUAGAGUUGCUCCUCUAUCCC
Podarcis lilfordi (Lilford's wall lizard) is the source of this 1938-nucleotide non-coding RNA. NCBI's taxonomy places the organism in Eukaryota, Metazoa, Chordata, Lepidosauria, Squamata, Lacertidae. The record is from the annotation of a GenBank genome assembly.